Non-coding RNA from Musa acuminata subsp. malaccensis (wild Malaysian banana), 1095 nucleotides. The record is from RefSeq and is a predicted model, not a curated record. Lineage: Eukaryota; Viridiplantae; Streptophyta; Magnoliopsida; Zingiberales; Musaceae.
AAGUCCGAAAGUUUCUCCCCCCGGUGUCGACGAACCACCGUCCGAUUUCUUUCUCAAGACCCUUUUGCAGGGGCAGGAUCGGAUGAGCCGCGGGCUGUUUCGGUACGAUGUGACGGCGUGCGAGACUUGGGUGAUUGCCGGGGAGUAUGGUUUCAUGGCGCAGCUGAACGAGGGCCGCCACCUCAAGAAGCGGCCCACGGAGUUCCGCGUCGAUCUCCUCCUCCGGCCCUUGGAUCCUACCAAGUUAAACUUCACCAAGGUCGGCCAGGAGGAGAUCCUGUUCCGCUUCGAGGCUGGGGAAGGUGACAAAGCUCGGUUCUUGGAGAGUGCUGCCGGUGGAUGAAGCCAACACACCCAGUGUUGCCGCGAUCAAUGUGAGUUCUCUUUCAAUGUGCUUUUGUUCUCUGCGCUUCAUGGUAGUUAUUUCUAUUUCUUUUCUCCUCUCUCUUACUGCUAUAUAUUGCCGAGGUUGCCACUUUGAGGCCGGUCAUGUGCUCGACUGCUUGCCUCAGAGAAUCGACCCUGAUAGUUUCUUGCUGGCUCUUCAUAUGGCAGCAGAAGCAGCAAGGCCCUUACUUCAAGCUCGGUUGAGAGAUCUCCCAUGGAGAGGGUUCCAAUUUGCUGAAGCUUCGUCUGUCCCAGAGCAGAGUGAAGGUCUCACAAUUGCUCAAUUAAAGACAAUUCCAUGGCAUUAUGCAUGUUAUGCUGAUUCCUAAUAAUUGGUUCUGAAGCAAAAAGAAAGUCUCUUUCUGAGGCAAGGUUUGAAGAAGUGAAAGCUUCAAUCUUUUGAGGCCACAGGUGUAAUGGAGUCCGAAGAGAAUAAAGGAACACCAUUGAAGUCCUCAUCUUCCAGGGGGGUGUUGCUUAGUCCUACAAUGAGCAAGACGGCCUGAGCUGUGCUUGCUGCAUUUGCCUAGUUGUUUCCGAGGGGAAUAAGAAGCAGAUACUCUGUCUCACCUCGACACUAUCCGAACUAUCUUCUCUUUGUAUUUGUUCUUCAGAAUACUUUGCCUAAAUAUGCAGGUUAUUUGAAUAAAGCAGAUUGUCGAUUUCAUUGUAGGAUUUUGUACCCAUUGAUAAUUUAAGCUUCCAUUA